UACAGAGAGUGCAAACGUUGUUCGGAAUUACUGGGCUUGAAGCGCACGUAGGCGGCGUUGUAAGUGUCGGGUGAAAUCCCACGGCUCACCCGUGGAACUGCCCGGCAUACUGCGAUGCUAGAGUGUGGUAGGGGAGAGCGGAACUCCUGGUGGAGCGGUGAAAUGCGUAGAUAUCGGGAGGAACACCGGUGGCGAAGGCGGCGACCUGGGUAGAUACUGACGCUGAGGUGCGAAAGCGUGGGGAGCAAACAGG
This 253-nucleotide ribosomal RNA is filed under the name uncultured bacterium. RNAcentral's name for it is "partial 16S ribosomal RNA". It matches the Rfam family "Bacterial small subunit ribosomal RNA", at positions 524 to 776 of the family's 1533-position model. The record is from RNAcentral.